RNAcentral lists this small RNA (16 nucleotides) under Escherichia coli. RNAcentral describes it as "RNA72_SPACER3". The record is from RNAcentral. Lineage: Bacteria; Pseudomonadati; Pseudomonadota; Gammaproteobacteria; Enterobacterales; Enterobacteriaceae.
AUGUUGAGAGUUCCCC